GCGUUGGUGGUAUAAAGGUGAGCAUAGCCGCCUUCCAAGCAGUUGACCUGGGUUCCAGUCCUGGCCAGCGCA
RNAcentral lists this transfer RNA (72 nucleotides) under Tyto alba (common barn owl). It matches the Rfam family "tRNA". Rfam says of the family: Transfer RNA (tRNA) molecules are approximately 80 nucleotides in length. Their secondary structure includes four short double-helical elements and three loops (D, anti-codon, and T loops). Further hydrogen bonds mediate the characteristic L-shaped molecular structure. tRNAs have two regions of fundamental functional importance: the anti-codon, which is responsible for specific mRNA codon recognition, and the 3' end, to which the tRNAs corresponding amino acid is attached (by aminoacyl-tRNA synthetases). tRNAs cope with the degeneracy of the genetic code in two manners: having more than one tRNA (with a specific anti-codon) for a particular amino acid; and 'wobble' base-pairing, i.e. permitting non-standard base-pairing at the 3rd anti-codon position. The record is from Rfam by way of RNAcentral. Lineage: Eukaryota; Metazoa; Chordata; Aves; Strigiformes; Tytonidae.